Molecule: long non-coding RNA, 1299 nt
Organism: Elaeis guineensis (African oil palm)
Lineage: Eukaryota; Viridiplantae; Streptophyta; Magnoliopsida; Arecales; Arecaceae
Source: RefSeq, a predicted model, not a curated record
CCCACCUCAACAUCGAAGGUAUUGCGUUUUGCCUUUCGGACAUCCCUCGGUUCACACUUUCCCAUCAAACACAAUCACUGCCACCGCCCUCUCUCUUCUCUCCAUCCAGCCCAUUGUUUUUUCUUGGUUGGUUUCUCCUUUUUUUCUUUUUUUUGGGUUUUGGGUUUGCUCUCUUACGGGGGAAAAAAUAAAGAGCAUGGGAGAUCACAUGCGGUGAUCUCACUUGUCAUUCUAUUUUAAUGUUCUUGAUCUUGGUUUUUUAAAGGGUAGAUUCAGUCUAGGAGGGUUGGAAUGCCAAAGAGUUAAUUCCAGAAGUGGCAAGAAAGAGGACAGCAGUGGAAGGCCAAUGUACUCCAAGAACUUGUGAAUCUGGUCACUGCUUUUGGAAAUCAUAACAUCCAAUAUUCCUUCAAAACUAUUUGGCAUCCAGAAGUUUUUCUGCAUCAAUAUCUCAACUCCUGUGCUUACUGUGAGUCAGACAUAAGCUCCACCGUAGCUGCAUCAAUACGUCAGGCCAGAUUUUGGCCAUCCAGUUCCCAUUUUAGUGCUUUCUUAUAUCUUAACAACUCACAUUGGUGAUCUGGGAUGUGUAUCUUUAGCCUGUGAAGUGGAUAAGAGGAACUUGAAAUUGAUGAGAAAUUUUGCUUCCAGUCAGCUGCAUCAUAUCAUUUAAGUGGAGAAAAAGAAGGCUAUCAAUAUUCUAACUAGCAACCAGUGGUUUCCGACGCAAGAUCCCAGUGGACCUGUGUGUUUUCUGUGGGGAUUGAUAAACCUGGACUCUGGAACUUAAAUGCAUUUUGAAAUAUUGAACACAGACUCCAGAUUGCCAAAGGUUAACUCAAGGGCUUGUUGGAUUUGUAUGAUGGAAGGCAGAGCAAGGAGAGAUAGAUUCGCAAGGGAAUCGAGCAACAACAACAAAAGGCCUCAACAACAUGGGCAGGACCAUAGAGCCUACACUUCGAGCUAUUUCAGCAUGGAAUCAUUUCUGGUACUUAUCUGCCUUACUGCAUCCUUACUCAUUCUUCCACUAAUUCUGCCUCCAUUGCCUCCGCCGCCUUUCUUGCUAUUACUGCUUCCUAUAUGCAUACUUGUUGUGUUAAUGGUCUUGGCUUUAAUGCCUUCGGAUGUCCGGAACAUUGCCUCCCCUUACUUGUAAAGAAGCUUCUUCUUGUAUAAAGGUGAGCGAGUGAAAAUGUCUUUUUAAUUUUGAAUGAUAAGAACAAUGGUUACAAAAUGUUUCAGGCAUUCAGUUAAUUUGCCUACUAAAAUGGUAGUGAUCAUAUUCGGACCGAACUAAAC